AGUGAUCCUGCGCCGAAGAUUUCCGGGGCUAAAACUUACUACCGAAGCUACGGCAUCAGUAAUGAUGGGUAGGGGAGCUUCCCAUACGGGUUGAAGCAUGACCGUAAGGACAUGUGGACAGUAUGGGAGUGAGAAUGUUGGCAUGAGUAGCGAGAUGUGGGUGAGAAUCCCACAGGCCGUAAACCCAAGGUUUCCAGGGGAAGGUUCGUCCGCCCUGGGUUAGUCGGGACCUAAGCUGAGGCCGAAAGGCGUAGGUGAUGGACAACAGGUUGAUAUUCCUGUACUACCGAUAACCGUUUGAGAGAAGGGAUGACACAGUAGGAUAAGCUAAGCACACUGUUGGUUAUGUGUGCCCAAGCAUUGAGGCAGUCAAAGGAGGCAAAUCCGCUUUGAUAAUGCUGGGAUGUGAUGGGGAGCGAAAUUUAGUAGCGAAGUAGCUGAUUUCACACGUCGA
RNAcentral lists this ribosomal RNA (454 nucleotides) under Clostridioides difficile. RNAcentral describes it as "bacterial LSU rRNA". It matches the Rfam family "Bacterial large subunit ribosomal RNA", at positions 1152 to 1611 of the family's 2925-position model. The record is from RNAcentral. Lineage: Bacteria; Bacillati; Bacillota; Clostridia; Peptostreptococcales; Peptostreptococcaceae.